GUCCACGCCGUAAACGAUGGGCACUAGGUGUGGGAGGUGUCGACUCCUCCCGUGCCGUCGCUAACGCACUAAGUGCCCCGCCUGGGGAGUACGGCCGCAAGGCUAAAACUCAAAGGAAUUGACGGGGGCCCGCACAAGCAGCGGAGCAUGUGGUUUAAUUCGACGCAACGCGAAGAACCUUACCUGGGCUUGACAUGUUGGUGACCGCCGUGGAAACACGGUUUUUCCUUCGGGACACCAUCACAGGUGGUGCAUGGCUGUCGU
This 264-nucleotide ribosomal RNA is filed under the name uncultured bacterium. RNAcentral describes it as "partial 16S ribosomal RNA". It matches the Rfam family "Bacterial small subunit ribosomal RNA", at positions 793 to 1055 of the family's 1533-position model. The record is from RNAcentral.